CCAGCCAUGCUGUUCCUUGCAUGACAGCAUCCCCCACUCCAGGAGGAGAAAGGCCCCUUCCCCUUCAGCUGUCCAGGGCAAAUGCUUCUGUCACAGCAGGGCCCAAGAGACACAAGCAGUGGAGGUGGUGAAACCAGGAGGGCAUGAAUCCCUCUGUUCCUGAUGGCAAUGGCCCUAGCAUGGAAGAUACGUGGGAAGGUGAAAGAAGAACUUGGGAACUAUGCAAAUCCUUGUGCAUUUCUCAGGCUGCCAAGCUGCUCAUGGCUGAGACUUGGGAGAAGUGGGUGAGUGUGUGUCCACCUUCACUCACUGAGCACAGAGAGGAGUCAAGCCCUGGACCUGGGCUUUCUCUAGCCCAACCUCACCUGGGUAAUUCCAACAGGAGUUUCCUGAGGGCUAGCAGGUCCACAAAGUGCAGUGCACAUUGGAAGGCUUUCUGACUGAGAUGGUGAAGGGUUUGAUCUCCCAGACCCCAUUCAUCCAAGUUAUUAGGGUGGAGCUCGUGUGCAUGUUCAAGGUGGGGUAACUAAGCCUGGAGGCUGUUUAGAAACUCGGUUCUGUGUUUGUGAGAAGCAGAAGGAACCAUCAGGAACAAAGAAAAUGGAUCUACCCACCAAGCACAUGGUGCAGCAGAGGCUGACCCUGCAGACUGCUGCAAUAGACCAGAGUGUGAGGCUGUAAAAAGUGUGAGGCUGUAGAAAUGGACUCAUAGUAUCAAAUGAAAGUAUGGGUGGAAGUCAUCUCAUCUCAUCAACCCCCCUAAUCAAAGUGUGGGCAUCCGCGUCUAAGCCACUGCAGGAAAGUGUCUGUCCCACCUUCUUUUGGAAACUCUUAGCGCUGAAGAUCCCACAAGCUCUCUUCUAAUGUUCCCCUCUGUUCUAGUGCUGAAUUAUUCCCAGACUUCUUCCUAAUACCCGAUGUAACUGUCCCUAGUUGAAAUGUGUGUUGGUUACUUCUUGUCUUGUCUUCCACAGCCACAGAGAGUAGUCUAUUGCCUUUCUAUUUAUAUCCAUCCUCAGGUAUCUCAAGACUGUAACAGAUCCCACUUCCACUGUCUUUACUUCCUGAGAAUAAAUAAUUCCAGUU
Molecule: long non-coding RNA, 1086 nt
Organism: Alligator mississippiensis (American alligator)
Lineage: Eukaryota; Metazoa; Chordata; Crocodylia; Alligatoridae
Exons: 3
Source: RefSeq, a predicted model, not a curated record